CGCGGUAAUACGGAGGGUGCAAGCGUUACUCGGAAUCACUGGGCGUAAAGGAUGCGUAGGCUGGAAAUCAAGUCGAGAGUGAAAUCCAACGGCUCAACCGUUGAACUGCUCUCGAAACUGGUUACCUAGAAUAUGGGAGAGGUAGAUGGAAUUGGUGGUGUAGGGGUAAAAUCCGUAGAUAUCACCAGGAAUACCGAUUGCGAAGGCGAUCUACUGGAACAUUAUUGACGCUGAGGCAUGAAAGCGUGGGGAGCAAACAGGAUUAGAUACCCUGGUAGUCCACGCCCUAAACGAUGCACACUAGUUGUUGCGAUGCUAGUCAUUGCAGUAAUGCACUUAACAGAUUAAGUGUGCCGCCUGGGGAGUACGGUCGCAAGAUUAAAACUCAAAGGAAUAGACGGGGACCCGCACAAGCGGUGGAGCAUGUGGUUUAAUUCGAAGAUACACGAAGAACCUUACCUGGGCUUGAUAUCCUAAGAAUCCUGUAGAGAUAUGGGAGUGCUAGUUUACUAGAACUUAGAGACAGGUGCUGCACGGCUGUCGUCAGCUCGUGUCGUGAGAUGUUGGGUUAAGUCCCGCAACGAGCGCAACCCUCGUGAUUAGUUGCUAACAGUUCGGCUGAGCACUCUAAUCAGACUGCCUUCGCAAGGAGGAGGAAGGUGAGGACGACGUCAAGUCAUCAUGGCCCUUAUGCCCAGGGCUACACACGUGCUACAAUGGCUAGGACAAAGAGAAGCGAUACUGCGAAGUGGAGCAAAUCUUAAAACCUAGUCUCAGUUCGGAUUGGAGUCUGCAACUCGACUCCAUGAAGCUGGAAUCGCUAGUAAUCGUAGAUCAGAUAUGCUACGGUGAAUACGUUCCCGGGUCUUGUACUCACCGCCCGUCACACCAUGGGAGUUGAAUUCACCCGAAGC
RNAcentral lists this ribosomal RNA (914 nucleotides) under uncultured bacterium. RNAcentral describes it as "bacterial SSU rRNA". It matches the Rfam family "Bacterial small subunit ribosomal RNA", at positions 516 to 1427 of the family's 1533-position model. The record is from RNAcentral.